RNAcentral lists this ribosomal RNA (510 nucleotides) under uncultured Glomus. RNAcentral's name for it is "SSU rRNA". It matches the Rfam family "Eukaryotic small subunit ribosomal RNA", at positions 569 to 1081 of the family's 1831-position model. The record is from RNAcentral. Lineage: Eukaryota; Fungi; Glomeromycota; Glomeromycetes; Glomerales; Glomeraceae.
AGCAGCCGCGGUAAUUCCAGCUCCAAUAGCGUAUAUUAAAGUUGUUGCAGUUAAAAAGCUCGUAGUUGAAUUUCGGGGUCAGUAGGUUGGUCAUGCCACUGGUAUGUACUGGUCUCACUGAUUCCUCCUUCCUGAUGAGCCGUAAUGCCAUUAAUUUGGUGUUGCGAGGAAUCUGGACUGUUACUUUGAAAAAAUUAGAGUGUUUAAAGCAGGCUAACGCUUGAAUACAUUAGCAUGGAAUAAUGAAAUAGGACGUUCGAUCUUAUUUUGUUGGUUUCUAGGAUUGACGUAAUGAUUAAUAGGGAUAGUUGGGGGCAUUAGUAUUCAAUUGUCAGAGGUGAAAUUCUUGGAUUUAUUGAAGACUAACUACUGCGAAAGCAUUUGCCAAGGAUAUUUUCAUUAAUCAAGAACGAAAGUUAGGGGAUCGAAGACGAUCAGAUACCGUCGUAGUCUUAACCAUAAACUAUGCCGACUAGGGAUCGGAUGAUGUUAAUUUUUAAUGACUCAUUC